RNAcentral lists this ribosomal RNA (463 nucleotides) under uncultured bacterium. Its description in RNAcentral is "partial 16S ribosomal RNA". It matches the Rfam family "Bacterial small subunit ribosomal RNA", at positions 355 to 811 of the family's 1533-position model. The record is from RNAcentral.
UGGGGAAUUUUGGACAAUGGGCGAAAGCCUGAUCCAGCAAUGCCGCGUGUGUGAAGAAGGCCUUCGGGUUGUAAAGCACUUUUGUCCGGAAAGAAAUCCUUGGCUCUAAUACAGUCGGGGGAUGACGGUACCGGAAGAAUAAGCACCGGCUAACUACGUGCCAGCAGCCGCGGUAAUACGUAGGGUGCAAGCGUUAAUCGGAAUUACUGGGCGUAAAGCGUGCGCAGGCGGUUUGCUAAGACCGAUGUGAAAUCCCCGGGCUCAACCUGGGAACUGCAUUGGUGACUGGCAGGCUAGAGUAUGGCAGAGGGGGGUAGAAUUCCACGUGUAGCAGUGAAAUGCGUAGAGAUGUGGAGGAAUACCGAUGGCGAAGGCAGCCCCCUGGCAAGUACUGACGCUCAUGCACGAAAAGCGUGGGGAGCAAACGGAUUAAUNCCCUGGUAGUCCACGCCCUAAAANGAUG